RNAcentral lists this ribosomal RNA (497 nucleotides) under Bacillus subtilis. RNAcentral describes it as "bacterial SSU rRNA". It matches the Rfam family "Bacterial small subunit ribosomal RNA", at positions 27 to 506 of the family's 1533-position model. Lineage: Bacteria; Bacillati; Bacillota; Bacilli; Caryophanales; Bacillaceae. The record is from RNAcentral.
GGACGAACGCUGGCGGCGUGCCUAAUACAUGCAAGUCGAGCGGACAGAUGGGAGCUUGCUCCCUGAUGUUAGCGGCGGACGGGUGAGUAACACGUGGGUAACCUGCCUGUAAGACUGGGAUAACUCCGGGAAACCGGGGCUAAUACCGGAUGGUUGUUUGAACCGCAUGGUUCAAACAUAAAAGGUGGCUUCGGCUACCACUUACAGAUGGACCCGCGGCGCAUUAGCUAGUUGGUGAGGUAAYGGCUCACCAAGGCAACGAUGCGUAGCCGACCUGAGAGGGUGAUCGGCCACACUGGGACUGAGACACGGCCCAGACUCCUACGGGAGGCAGCAGUAGGGAAUCUUCCGCAAUGGACGAAAGUCUGACGGAGCAACGCCGCGUGAGUGAUGAAGGUUUUCGGAUCGUAAAGCUCUGUUGUUAGGGAAGAACAAGURCCGUUCGAAUAGGGCGGUACCUUGACGGUACCUAACCAGAAAGCCACGGCUAACUACGU